Molecule: ribosomal RNA, 468 nt
Filed under: uncultured bacterium
Lineage: Bacteria
Description: partial 16S ribosomal RNA
Rfam family: Bacterial small subunit ribosomal RNA
Source: RNAcentral
GACGAACGCUGGCGGCGUGCUUAACACAUGCAAGUCGAACGGAAAGGCCCUGCUUUUGUGGGGUGCUCGAGUGGCGAACGGGUGAGUAACACGUGAGUAACCUGCCCUUGCCUUUGGGAUAACUUCAGGAAACUGGGGCUAAUCCCGGAUAGGAUCUCUUGCUGCAUGGUGGGGGUUGGAAAGUUUCGGCGGUUGGGGAUGGACUCGCGGCUUAUCAGCUUGUUGCUGGGGUAGUGGCUUACCAAGGCUUUGACGGGUAGCCGGCCUGGGAGGGUGAGCGGCCACGUUGGGCCUGAGAUACGGCCCAGACUACAACGGGAGGCAACAGUGGAGAAGAGUGCACAAUGGGCGGGAGCCUGAUGCAGCAACGCCGCGUGCGGGAUGACAGCCUGCGGGUUGUAAACCGCUUUCGCCUGUGACGAAGCGUGAGUGACGGUAAUGGGUAAAGAAGCACCGGCUAACUACGUG